Molecule: long non-coding RNA, 14719 nt
Filed under: Malus domestica (apple)
Lineage: Eukaryota; Viridiplantae; Streptophyta; Magnoliopsida; Rosales; Rosaceae
Description: long non-coding RNA (MDOM_LNC004795)
Source: RNAcentral
ACAUUGUUUAUUCCACACAUUAUUAUAAAUUAUAAAUCUACUCCAAAUAAAUGAGGAUCUAUAAAUUGAUGGGUACGUAAUUAGAAUUACUGACUACAAAGGGUAAUAUGCAAACCACCUAUAAAUCAUAGCAAGACACUCUUCAGGUUUGUACUCUGGAGCUGUGUGACCGGCUCCCUGCACUAAGUUAGGAGAAUCUGCAUAGAAACUAUCCAGCCAUGUUUUAGCCUCAAAUGUCCUUCAAAUCCGGCUCAAAAUAGCUUGUUUUAAUUAUCAGGACGUUCCGAACACAUCUCUAGAAGGCCACGAAACCAUCCGAGAUUAUCUUGGGCUCCAAAAAUGUAAUUCAAGCCCAAAACGUCACUAUUCCAGCACCAUGCAUCGCUCUUUUAUUCUAUUGUCAGAAAAUAACCGCCUAGUGGAAAAAUCUGAUAUUUUGAUAUGAUCAAGCUGAGUGACUCACGAACGUCCUCCAAUUUGAACCACUCCAAAAUUCAUCCGUUUGGUCAUGUUUUGCUCUAGAGGAAAUCAACUAUCCUAUAUUGAAAAUACAAUUUAAAGUAUCAAAAUUCUUCCAAAAUAUUAACCAAAAUAUACUAAGAACAGGGUAAAAUAUAUAAUAUGAAAUUGACUCAUCAAUGCUCCUCUUGAAUCAGCAGAUCAUAACAGUCAUCAAAGGAAAGAAAAGAGCGAAGAUGAACCGAUGUCUUAAACUCCUUAUGUUCUUGACCAUGCCCGUCAAGAAUGGAUUCAAUAAGCUCAUAGUCUGUGAUGCCGGAACUAGCAUAGUGAAGAGAAUCAGAAAGGCUUCGAGCAUGUAGUAACUACUCAUGCAUAGGUUGCUCGGGAUUUUCUUCAGAUUUUGGAGUUGGUGUCGAACAGUGCGAAUGUGAGUCUUAGAGAGAGGAGAGAGAAGCUUCUCCAAGAGUGACCAUGCGUCAUAACCAGUGGUACAAGAAAGCAAGAUAGGCUUGAUGGAGGAGGAGCAAGUUUGCUUUAAUCCAACCAAAGACAAGUUUGUCUUGAGAGUCGGCGAGAUUGACAGAGCUGUCGUCGAGCUUUUUGGAGGGUUUAGAAUUGCAGGCCACAGUGUUUUCGAGACCAUGAAUCUCUGAGAUCGUCAACUGAGAUAAUUGGUACGAUCCAUAGAGUGUUGAUCAUGUGAGAGAUAUUGAAGGUAGUGGGAAGGGUUGUGGUGAUGGUUGUCAUGGUUGAAGAAGAAUCAGACAAGAGAGCAGCAGAAGAUAAGAUGUUUGACGAGGAUGUAGUAGAGGCCAUAGAGGAUCGAAAUUGAGUAGUUUAGCUGUUGGUUAAGGCUGAUACCAUGUAUAGAAUCAGAAUAUGAAGGCGAUGAGAAAACAGAAUAUGCAGAGAGUAAGUUGUCAAGAAAGAGAGAUCUUAUACUUUGGGAGAAUAGCUUGAUUGAUCUUUACUAUCUCAAUUGGUACAGAUAUACAAGUACGUACAUCAUUGACUUUUGUAUAGCAAUUACAGGUAAAGAAAUAGUACGAUUAAUGUAAUACAAUUAGUGUUGGAAAUUUUGAGUAGAAAUUUCAUUGUCCCACAUUGGUCACUACCAAAAGAUUUCCUCACUUUAGAAGGCUUUGUCCCUUAUAAAAAGUAAUUGGAGUGAUGGACCUUGGAAAAUAAAAUUGGGCUCACCCUUGGGCUCACUUUAAUUAAUUAAUUAUUUUUUUUACCAACAGAUAAGUUUGAGGUCUGGUGAAAGAACGCAGAGACCAAACACCCAUCUGAGAAGAUGUCUCCCAACAUAUGCAUUAAUUCUCCGUACUUGUUGCAAACAUGCAUAAUCAUAUUAUAUAUAUAUCCAUCUGCAUGACAUUUAGAACACAGAAAAACAUAAUUCUCCUUCUACAAGCCAAAGCAUUCUUACUGAGAGAAUCACAAAGAAAUUCGUCAGAAGUUAAGUUUUCCGGUGCUGGAAUUUUUACUUGAUCGUUGAAUCUUGGUGAAGCAGACGUCCGUAGAAUUCUACAAGCACUUAGUAGUGAUGAAAUUUCUAUUUCAAGGACAUUGUGGUACGUAAGCCUCGAUCUUUUGUUUAUCUACUUAAUUAUUAUUGCAUUCUGUUUAUAUUCUGUAAAAUAUUUAUUCGCAUUUAUUAUUAGCAUAUAUAAAUUUGUCAUAGAUUGUUGAUAUUUUUCUAACAAUCAGCAAGUUUAAUAUGAUGGAGGAGGUCUUGGCUGAGUGGAAACAAUUGAGGGAUUGUUGUCUGGUUGACUGGUGCAACGUUCCUCUGCAGAUUUGGUGAACUAUUGGAUGCAAACUGAUGAUCUGUUUAGAAUGUUGAUGAAUGAUGAUUCUUUGUUAACAAGUUUAUGAAGUCAGGACGUAGUGAUUGGGAUGGGAAAGUAGAUACUGGUGGCUGCAAGAAUUCAAGUGAGGGUGCUAAAGAGGAUCUGCCAAGUGCAAGUAGGAAAAACUAUUGGUCUUUUGAGUCCAAGAAAACGUAUAGGGGAGGAGUUUGCUGCAGAAGCAGGUAACCUUUGUCUUGACGAAAUUGAGUGAUGAGAAGCAUGUUAUGGAAUCACAGGGGUCUGCCUAGACCUGGUUUCGUGUCACAACUUAGAUUUGUGUGUGGUUAACAAACUGGACCCUCUUUUUAUCGUAGAAUUCGGAAGGAAGAAGUGGGUGUAGCUUUGAAGAAGAUGAAGCAUAGAAAAGCAGUAGGCCCAGACGAUAUACCAAUCGAAGUGUGGAAAGUUUUGGGAGAGACAGGUAUAACAUGGCUCACUGACCUUUUCAAUAGGAUUUUGAAAACGAAGAAGAUGCCAAAUGAGUGGCGAACGAGCACUUUGGUGCCUAUCUACAAGAAUAAGGGCGACGUACAAAAUUGCAUGAACUAUAGGGGUAUUAAGCUAAUGAGUCAUACAAUGAAGCUCUGGGAGAGAGUCAUUGAGCAUAGAUUGAGGCAAGAGACACGGGUUUCGGACAACCAAUUCGGGUUCAUGCCAGGGCGCUCAACCAUGGAGGCAAUCUAUCUCCUACGAAGAUUGAUGGAAAGAUAUAGAGAUGGGAAAAAGGAUUUACACAUGGUCUUUAUAGAUUUGGAAAAAGCGUAUGAUAGGGUCCCAAGAGACAUUCUUUGGAGGAUUUUAGAGAAGAAAGGAGUACGAGUAGCAUAUAUCCAAGCUAUAAAGGAUAUGUAUGAAGGAGCAAAGACUGCCGUAAGAACUCAUGAAGGACAAACCGAAAGCUUUCCCAUAACUGUAGGAUUACAUCAAGGCUCAUCCUUAAGUCCUUACCUUUUUGCGUUGGUAAUGGAUGAGUUAACAGGACAUAUUCAAGAUGAUAUUCCUUGGUGUAUGCUUUUCGCAGACGAUAUAGUGUUGAUAGAUGAAACUCAGGAAGGGGUAAAUGCAAAGCUUAACCUUUGGAGAGAAGUGUUGGAAUCUAAAGGUCUUCGCCUAAGCCGAUCAAAGACAGAAUAUAUGGAGUGCAAGUUCAGUGCAAAUGGAGGCCAAAACGAGUUAGGGGUGAGGAUCGGAGAUCAAGAAAUACCAAAGAGCGACCGUUUUCGUUACCUAGGAUCUAUCUUGCAAAAGAACGGAGAAUUAGAUGGAGAUCUCAACCAUAGAAUACAAGCUGGAUGGAUGAAGUGGAAGAGUGCAUCCGGCGUGUUGUGUGACCGCCGUAUGCCACUGAAGCUCAAGGGAAAAUUUUAUAGGACGGCAAUAAGGCCGGCGAUGCUGUAUGGCACAGAAUGUUGGGCGGUGAAGCAUCAACACGUACACAAAAUGGGUGUAGCGGAGAUGAGGAUGCUUCGUUGGAUGUGUGGGCACACGAGAAAGGAUAAGAUUAGGAAUGAGGAUAUCCGGGGUAAAGUAGGAGUAGCCGAAAUUGAAGGAAAGAUGAGAGAAAAUCGGUUACGGUGGUUUGGACAUGUGCAAAGAAGGCCUACUGACGCUCCGAUUAGAAGAUGCGACUAUGGGACAGAGGUUCAGGGCCGAAGGGGUAGAGGAAGACCUAGGAAAACUUUGGAAGAGACUCUAAGAAAAGACUUAGAGUACUUGGAUCUAACGAAGGACAUGACACAGGAUCGAGCACAAUGGCGUUCUAAGAUUCAUAUAGCCGAUCCCACUCAGUGACUUGGAUUUUCCAAGUCUCCAACCGAGAAGUUUUCCUCACUCGGGAAAUUAAGGGAACACUACCCUCAACCUACAUGCUCCACUCAGAAAGCUUCAACAUACAAGCUUCAACAAAAGAAAAUUCAAAGAACUUAGCGAAGAAGGCUUUGGUGUAUUUAACACAAUACGUUGAAAUGAAGGAAAGCUUAUUUAUUGAUAUCCCCGAUAAGCUACAAAUAUGUACAUAUACAUGAGUCAAAAUAAACAAACAAGAGGGAGCCUUCACAAAGGUUGCUUAGGAGAAGUCUCAGCAGUCGGUAGAGCCCCAGAAAGAGAAGGCACCGGAGGGGGAUCAUUUCGGAGCCUCAGUACUGGACAGAACCCUAGAAGGAGGAGGCAUCAGAGGUUGAUCAUUUGGAGCUUCAUUACGCGGUACAGCCCCAGAAGACGAAGGCAAUAAAUGCCUUUGGAACAAACCCACAAAUCUCUGAUGAUCAAGUAAAACCUGACCAUCAGUUUCCUUCAUCUGGUCAAGCUUCCUCUUCAUGUUUGUAGCAUAGUCAUGUGCGAGCCGGUGCAACUGUUUAUUCUCAUGCUUGAGCCCUCUAAUCUCCUGUUUGAGACUCAUCACUUCAGCCGCCAAUGAUUCAACUUGGCGGGUUCGAGCAAAUAGGCGUUGGGCCAUAUUAGACACAGAACCUGCACACUGAACACUGAGAGCCAGCGAAUCCUUAACAGCUAACUCAUCAGACCGUUUGGAAAGUAGUCUGUUAUCUUUGGGAGUGAGAAGGUUCCUGGCCACCACCGCAGCGGUCAUAUCAUUCUUCAUCACGGAAUCCCCAACGGUAAGAGGACCAGUAGGGGAGACGAAGGAUGGGCGCCAUAUGUUGUCUGGAGAAGGCGGGGCUGCCUCUUCAACAAGGUUCAAGUCAAAACGACGGUCGGAGGGGCCAGACAUUUUCAAAGGUGUUGAAGAGAGAAGAGGUCGGACAAAUCAAGAUCUUAGAAGUGCAAGAAUGGAAGCUUCUACUGGUGGAGAUUCAAGUGUGCUUUGGAACUUAAUGCCAGCCCCUAUAAAAAUCUGCACUCGACGGAAGCUUCAGAAAUCGAAGAGGCGCCUGCUCAGAAAUCGAAGAGGCGUUUGCUUUCUCAAAAGCUGGGCUGCUUCAGAGACCACGAGGGUUGAUCUCAGAAAUCGAAGAGGCGUUUGCUUUCUCAAAAGUUGGGCUGCUCAAAGACCACGAAGGCCGAUCUCAGAAAUCGAAGAGGCGCUCGCUUUCUCAAAAGCUGGGCUCCUCAGAGACCACGAGGGCCGAUCUCAGAAAUCGAAGAGGCACCUACUUUUUCCAGCCUUGUCAGCACCUGUCACACGCACACUCAGCUUUGCGGAAAUUAUGGGCAUUCUGUCGAAGACUUCUGGGGAAGUAGAAAAGCACAUGAAUCUUACUGUUCAAUCACCCACUUCCCACACGCAACAAUAGCUCAUGGGUACCACAGAUAACUUUGCCAAAGUUCUCUGCCAAAGUUGAGACACGUGAAGCUUGCAGCUCCCACUACAUCGCUCUGACCAAGAAGGGUAAAAGAAUAGCAAAGAAACAGCACUAACAAAGUUUAGACACAUAAAUUUUGAAGGUCUAGCUACCAUAUUAUUACCCACAAGGGUAAAGGAACAGUACCACUGCUGGAUAAUUGGAAAGUCCCUGUGUGUCAACCUCUGUGCUUCGUGGCAAGGUAGACUAGCAAACAUGCCCAACCUUUACUCACAUUCGAGAAAACACUCCCAACAAGAUUGCUUGCUCCAAAAUCGAAGAGGCACCGUCCUCCGAAUCUCGAGAGCCAGACUCCCAACAUGACUACUUUCUCAAAAAUCGAAGAGAGGGUAAAGGAACAGUACCAUUGCUGGAUAAUUGGAAAGUCCCUGUGUGUCAACCUCUGUGCUUCGUGGCAAGGUAGACUAGCAAACAUGCCCAACCUUUACUCACAUUCGAGAAAACACUCCCAACAAGAUUGCUUGCUCCAAAAUCGAAGAGGCACCGCCCUCCGAAUCUCGAGAGCCAGACUCCCAACAUGAUUACUUUCUCAAAAAUCGAAGAGAGGGGUAAAGGAACAGUACCACUGCUGGAUAAUUGGAAAGUCCCUGUGUGUCAACCUCUGUGCUUCGUGGCAAGGUAGACUAGCAAACAUGCCCAACCUUUACUCACAUUCGAGAAAACACUCCCAACAAGAUUGCUUGCUCCAAAAUCGAAGAGGCACCGCCCUCCGAAUCUCGAGAGCCAGACUCCCAACAUGAUUACUUUCUCAAAAAUCGAAGAGACACCGCUCUCCGAAUCUCGAGAGCCAGACCCCCAGCAUGAUUGCUUUCUCAAAAAUCGAAGAGGCAUCGUUCUCCGAAUCUCGAGAGCCAAAACCCCCGACAGGUCUGUAAUCUUCACACGCAACAUCAGCUUUCCAGAUACCACAGACCACUUUUUCAAAGUGCUCUGACAGAGUUAAAACAUGUGUGAAGCUGGCAGCUCCCACUACCGUGCUAUGACCAAGCAGGGUAAAGGAAUAGCAUUACUACUUGAUGUUAGGGAGACUCCUAUAUAUGUCGACCUCCAUCCCCAACGGACAGGCAGACCUGCAAAAAUGCUCAACCCUUUCUCAUAUCUGAGAGGGCACUCCCAACGAAGCCUUUCGAAAUAUUCAGCUUUCUUUCCCCCCGAUAAUACCUCUGCAAACAAGCUAUACUAGAGCAAGAAUAUCUCAUAUCAUCAGGGUUAAAAGCAAGAGUAUCCCAUAUCAUGCUUUUUCCCUGUCUUUUCCUUUGGCCUUGUUCUUACCUGCAAGACAAGGAGAAAGAGAGCAAUCAGUCAGCACUUGGAAUCAAGCUUCCAGCCAGGAACUGACUGCCUGGAACCCCUUACCUGAUUACUUACCUGGCAUUGCUCUCGAGUACUCAUCUUCAACAUCUUAUGCUUCCAGGGAAGAUACCGCAUCUGCCUGAGGAACAGAUAGGGCAAGUGAGAAGGAUACAAGGAAGCAUGUGGAGACAAGCGUAACAGCACACGUGCCGAUACAUCCAUUACUCUGUCAAAAGCAAAAGUAUCCCAUAUCAGCAGGGUCGAACGUACUCUAGAUUUGAUGGACUUGUUUUGACCCUCAAAUUCUUCAGUCGGCCUUAUACUCUGGAGGAAACCAGAAAACCCUCCAGCCCAGUUCAAGAAUAAGCCUGUGGAAAGUUACUUCUUCAAAAGCAAAAGUAUCCCAUAUCAUCUCUUCUCAUUUUUCUUCUCUUUAUCCUUCAUGCUGCCUGCAAGAUAGGGGAGAAUGUGAACAAUCAGCCGGAGCUCUGAUUGCUUACCUUGUCUGUCACCUCUUUCAGCAGAUCCCCCUAGCUCGGCGACUUGGGGGACUCCUACUACAUGGUUUGUAUCGCGCUUGACCAAGCCUGAAACUACAAGUAAGCUUCAAGUGAAAUUGAUACAUUACCUUGUGCAUCUCCACCAGUUACAGAUACCACCCCUGGAUGGAGGAAGAGUACUUCCAGAGAAGAUGCCACAUCUACCUAUGAGACAGAUAAGGCAAGUCAAGACGAUACCACACUCCGGUACUUAGAAGUUUCGUGAUUACGAGAUCAUUCUCCCACAAUAUUUCCUAAUGUCAUUUGUACUAAAUCAUUCACUUGUACUCACUAAAGGAGAGCUUGAACCUAUGUACUUGUGUAAACCCUUCACAAUUAAUGAGAACUCCUCUAUUCCGUGGACGUAGCCAAUCUGGGUGAACCACGUACAUCUUGUGUUUGCUUUCCUAUCUCUAUCCAUUUAUAUACUUAUCCACACUAAUGACCGGAGCAAUCUAGCGAAGAUCACAAAAAGCGACCGUUUUUCGCUACCUAGGAUCUAUCUUGCAAGAGAACGGAGAAUUAGAUGGAGAUCUCAACCAUAGAAUACAAGCUGGAUGGAUGAAGUGUAAGAGUGCAUCCGGCGUGUUGUGUGACCGUCGUAGGCCACUGAAGCUCAAGGGAAAAUUUUAUAGGACGGCAAUAAGGCCAGCGAUGUUGUAUGGCACAGAAUGUUGGGCGGUGAAGCAUCAACACGUACACAAAAUGGGUGUAGCGGAGAUGAGGAUGCUUCGUGGGAUGUAUGGGCACACGAGAAAGGAUAAGAUUGUGAAUUAGGAUAUCCGAGGUAAAGUAGGAGUAGCCAAAAUUGAAGGAAAUAUGAGAGAAAAUCGGUUCCGGUGGUUUGGACAUGUGCAAAGAAGGCCUACUGACGCUCCGGUUCGAAAAUGUGACUACGGGACAGAGGUUCGGGGCCGAAGGAGUAGAGGAAGACCUAGGAAAACUUUGGAAGAGACCUAAGAAAAGACUUAGAGUACUUGGAUCUAACGGAGGACAUGACACAAAUGAGCGCAAUGGCGUUCUAGGAUUCAUAUAGCCGACCCCACUUAGUGGGAAAAGGCUUUGUUGUUGUUGUUGUUGUAAAUUUAAUGCAGUAGGUUGUCGAAGGGCUGGUGGCCUUUGUUUGUUCUGGGAAUCAAAUGUCUUGAAUAUCAAUAUAAUAUGCUCUUUUGAUCGUUGUAUAAAUGCUACUUUGCAUGAUCUUGUUUGUGAUACAAGUUAUUUGAUUACUUUAGUGUAUGCGUAACCUCAGAAAGAAUUACAAUAGGAAUUAUGGAUUAAAAUUCUUACACCGAACCCAAAUAACGAUCCUUGGUUACUCUUGGGAGAUUUUAACAAUAUCCUAAACUUGGAUGUAACAAUAACUAUGUACAUGAUUGAUUUCAACAAUUUUACAAGUGAUGGUAAUCUUGUCUCUAUACCUGCUUCUGGAGUUCCUUUCAGUUGGACAAAUGAACCUAAGAUAACUCGGUAGUUUUUGAAAGGUUAGACCGUGUUUAAUUUUGCUAUUUCGAGUGGCUAAAUCUGUUUGAAAAGGUUCAUUUACACAGCUUGCCAAUAUUUGGCUCGGACCUUAGUCCUAUUAUAGUUCAAUGUAAUAAUAUUGGCUAUAAAAGGAAGAACUCUUUCAAGUUUGAGGCAAUGUGGCUUAAUCACUCUGAAUUCAAUCAAUUUGUUAAAGACAAUUGGCAAUGUAAUUUAUCUAGACGCCCAAAUGAUAUGUUUAGAGCGUGCGUUGAAGUGUUUAAAUUCAAUAUGAAAAGAUGAAACACAGCUCUCUCUAGUAAUGUGCAAAAGAAAAUUGAACACCUCCCGACUAAGCUUACAAUGAUAGACCCUAAAUCAACCUUGACUCUUAAGCUGCCAUAGAAGUCGAGAGAGAAUAUGAACAAGAAGAAGACAAUACUAUUUUUAUAACAUAUCCUUUGUAUCUUACAAUUCCUGCUAUAUAGCAACUAACCACAACAAUCUUUUCCUAUUACAACCAACUAACAACUUUUACAGCUAAUACAAUCUUAUUCACUAAUAUGAUGACACUUGACACCAUCUCAGUUGUCAUACAACAAUCAUUUAUCCUUUAGAUUCCUAUCAAUUACUCCCCCCUUUGAAAUUAGCCUUGUCCUCAAGGCUGGAAGUCAGGAAAUCGAGCUUUCAAAUCAUCCAAACGCUCCCAAGAUGCAUUGGCAACAUGAUGAUUCCGCCAAUGCACUAAGACUUCGUUGACAGGAGUCGACCCAUGUUUAAUGACCCGUCGAUCCAGGAUAGCUGUUGGUUCAUCCUGAAUCAGACCUGCAUCAUAAGCAGAUGGAAGCGGUAUAGUAGUAGAGGCUGAUGUGCCCAGUUGUUUCUUGAGACAAGAAACAUGGAAAACUGGAUGAAUCUUAGAAUGAGGUGGCAACCUUAACUUGUAGGUUACAUGUCUGACCUUCGUAAGAAUUUCAAAGGGACCAUAAAACCGAGGAUGCAAUUUAUGAUAACGAUGUAGAGCAAGGGACUUUUGUUGGUAAGGUUCCAACCUGAGAUACACAUAAUCACCAACUUCAAAAGACCUCUCAGUUCGAUGUUUAUCUGCCUGACUUUUCCUUCUUACUUGAGCUGCUUCCAGAUUGGUCUUGAGAAGAGAUAAAAUCCGAGUUCGAUCUUGUAAACACUGAUCCACCGAGUCAAUCUUCGUAGUUCCAGAUUCAUAGAUUGGAAUAUGUGGAGGAGACUGCUCAUACACUACUUCAUAAGGUGUAAGUUUCGUUGCAGUAGGAUAAGAUGUAUUGUAACUCCAUUCCACCCAUGGAAGCCAUUUCAACCAUUACUUGGGCUCUAAGCUACAAAAACACCUUAAGUAUGUUUUUAAACAUCGAUUUAAAACCUCAGUAUGUCCAUCAGUUUGGGGGUGAAAUCCUAAACUAAGACACAAUCUGGAGCCUUGAAGUUUAAAGAACUUUUUCCAAAAAGAGCUGAUGAAAAUAAGGUCUCAAUUUGAGACAAUGGAGGUUGGCAUCCCAUGUAGUUUGAACACUUGAUCGAUGAAAAGCUGAGCUACGGAGUGAGCAGUAUAAGGAUGAGACAUGGAUAAAAAGUGUGCAGCUUUUGAAAGUCGGUCAACCAUAACAAAUAUGACAGAUUUGCCUCUACAAGGAGGAAGUCCAGUGAUGAAGUCCAUGGAUAUGUCAGUCCACACUCUUUGGGGAAUAGGUAAAGGAUUCAGUAGUCUUGCGGGAACAAGGAACUCAUACUUGUUUUUCUGACAGAUAUCACAACCAACAACCAUAUCCCUGAAGUUGUUCUUCAUACCUUCCCAAUAAAAAGACUUAGGGAUGCGUUUAUAAGUCUUAAGAAAACCUGCAUGACCUGCACUAGGUGUGCAGUGAAACUCUUCAAACAAUUUCACCCUUCAAGAACUUGUAGGACUUAGGACAAUCCUAUUUUUGUAUCUCAAAAAACCAUUAGCAAAGUGAUAUCUCAAGAAUUGUAAUGGAAUAGAAUCCGAAGUUUUAUUCAAAACUGAUUGUGAUUUGGCUAAGAUCUAAUCAUCUUGCUCAACAUGUCGACGAAGGUCAUCGAGCCAAGACAUAUAAGGAUAAGAUAUGGCAGUAAGUUCACUGCCAAGUACUCCCGGAAGCACGGAAUUAGGAGCAAUACUAUUCAUGGCAGAAACAUCCAGAGUAGUUGAAGUAGUGUCAGGUGGAAUCCUCGAAUUUGAGAACAUUCGAGACAAAGCAUUUGCUGCCUUGUUAUCAUUCCCUUUCUUGUACUGAAUUUCGUAAUCAAAACCAAGUAAUUUCGAAACCCAUUUUUGUUGAAAAGGAGAAUUAGCACGAUUCUGCAGAAAAUACUUGAGGCUAUGAUAAUCUGUUCGUAUAAUGAAAUGGUUCCCAUGGAGAUACGAUUGCCAUUUCUUAACUGCAUGAAUUACGGCUAACAUUUCCCUUUCAUAAGUCGAUAAAGCCUGAUUCUUUGGUCCUAAAGACUGGCUUGUAAAAGCAAUCGGCCUACCCUCUUGUUGCAACACUGCUCAUUUACCCGUACCUGAAGCAUCACUCUCAAUAAUGAAGGGUUUUGAAAAAUCUGGGAGAGCCAAGACUGUAGGAGACAUCAUGGCACUCUUGAGUUCUUGAAAUGCGGCCAUUGCUGCAGGGGUCUAAUGAAAUCCAUCAUUUUUAGUGAGUGGAGUCAAAGGACCACAAAUUUUGCCAUAAUAGGGAAUAAAUUUUCUGUAAUACGCAAUGAGGCCUAAAAAACCCGUUAAACUUUCAUAGAAGGCGGUUUAGGCCACUGUGCAAUUGCUUUUAAUUUUGAAGGGUCAGCAGCCACUCCUUUGUCAGAAACUGUAUACCCCAAAUACUCAAUUUGCGUUGCACACUUAGAGAGCUUGACAAAGAGGUGAUUAUCUUGCAGUAAACUCAAAACAAGAUUCAAGUGAUGGAGAUGUAAUUCCCAAGAAGCACUAUAUAUCAAAAUAUUGUCAAAAAAUACCAAGAUAAACUUCCGCAAAUAAGGUUUGAAAAUCUCAUUCAUUAGACCUUGAAAGGAGGCUGGGGCGUUAGUUAAGCCAAAUGGCAUAACAAGGAAUUCAUAAUGUCCCUCAUGAGUUCGAAAUGCCGUUUUAUCAAAAUCCUUGGGAUGCAUACGAAUCUGGUGAUAGCCCGACCGAAGAUCCAGUUUUGAGAAAUACUUGGCACCAAAGAGUUCAUCUAAGAGCUCAUCAAUCAAUGGUAUAGGAUAUUUGUCUUUCAUUGUGAACAAAUUGAGUGCCCUAUAAUCCAUGCACAUUCUCCAAGUACCCUCUUUUUUCUUCACCAACAAAACUAGAGAGGAAAAAGGACUAUGGCUUGGUCUUAUAAAACCAGAAUCUAGCAAUUCUUAGACACAUUGUUCGAUUUCAGUCUUUUGGAAAGGACCAUAUUUGUAGGGUCUUGCACUAGGAGGCUUGCACCCUUCUAUUAAAGGAAUCCUGUGAUCAUGUGACCGUGACGGAGGCAACCCUGAUAGUGGUUGAAAUAUAGACUGAAAUUGAUUUAACAAAACCUACAGAUCCUGUUCUUGUGGAAAAGGCAGUUGCCGAGGAUUGGAAGGAAGUAUAGUCUCCUCACUGAAUUGUAAAACAAAUAGUGCAACUCCCAAACAAUGAUCAUGAUUGAGUAAUCUAUCCAUUUGCAAGGAAGAUAUUGACUGAGGAUCUUGAACUUGAGGACUUGUGAUAGAGAAGGUAGUAAUGCCAACAACAAACUGCAUAACCAUUUUUUCAAAAUCCCACAAAAAGGGUCCCAACAUUCUUAACCACUGUACGCCAAGAACAAUAUCGCACCCUCUCAAAGGAAUAGCGUAAAAAUCCAACACAGCUGCAUAAUUCUGAAUUCUCACAGAGACUUGUGCUAAACAACCCGGAAUGGUGAGUGAACCUCCAUUUGCAAUUUUAACAGAAAAUGGUUGUGUAGUAUCUAAGUGACCCUUCAACUGUUUUACUAAAGCAAUGUCAAUGAAAUUGUGAGAGCUACCUUAAUCUAUCAAAAAAAUAGCAGGACAAUUCAACACCAACCCAUUGACUUUCAUAGUUCGAAUAGACUUUGGAGCAGGCAUACCAUAAACUGCACAAGCCAUAACUUCAGGUUCAUCAGUAUCAUCAGAUUCAUGCUCAAUCAAAUGGCCAUUUUCAUACACAUCUAUCAGUAAAAUUUGACAUUUAGGACCAGCACACACAUGGUCUUUAGAAAAUUUCUCAUCACAAUUGAAACACAAUCUAUUCUUUCUUCGAAACUCAAUUUCUGCAACUGUUAGUCGUCGAAAAUUAUCAUUUUGUGUUGAAGAUUCAGGUUUUGGUAUAUUGGUAAUGUCAGACAGAUGAGUAGGCUUGAAUUGUGAUGUAGGGAAUGGAUUUCUUGAAAAAGAUUUUACCUUGAGCUCUGCCAAUUUAGCAUCCACUUGUUGCGAAUAGGCUAUAGCUUCAUGAACAUCGAAAGGGCGAAGGAUCUUGACAUCAUGCUGAAUCUCCGGUUUUAAACCCCAAUGAAGCAACUUUUUAAGAUUCUUGGAGUCAUUUCCAUAGUACGAUUCGCUAAUCGACGGAAUUCCUAAUCCCUGAGUAACCCAGUUUGGUGAAGCUUCACUAAAUUCUCAGUGCAAUCCACAAGAUCAGGUGAUCCAAAUUUGCGACAAAAAAUCUUUGUGAAAUCUUCCCAUUUAGGGUAAUUCUUGACACAAUUCACCCAUUGAAACCACUGAAAUGCUUCAUUUUCCAUGUCGAAGGAGGCCAUUCGAACCUUCUUAUCUUCUGGAAUGGUGAAGUAAUCAAAGUAGUGCUCCACUUUAUAAACCUAGCCGAGAGGGUCAUCACCUUCGUGAAAUCGAGGAAAAUCCAAUUUCACCAAUGGAGGUCUUGGGUGAAAACCUGAAUCUUGGCGAUUGAAUUGUUGAUUUCUUGCAUCUUCAUGCAAAUUGGGAUCUGAAGGGGUCACAUCUGAGGAGUCCACAUGAAAAACCAUAUCACAUUUCGCACAAAAUCGCGAAAUUUCUCAAAUCGAGCGUCGGAUGAAUCUUGGCGUUCUUCCAUGGCGUCAAACCUCUGAAGUAGGAUGUUGAGAGUGUUGUUUAUUGCAGAAAGUUGAUUCUAUGGAUCCAUGGCUUUCUUUGUAGAAGCAUGAGUCAUACGGUACAGAGAAGGGAUGAAAGAUCGUGAUUGGCUCUGAUGAUACCAAUGAUAGACCCUAAAUCAACCUUGACUCUUAAGCUGCCAUAGAAGUCGAGAGAGAAUAUGAACAAGAAGAAGACAAUACAAUUUUUAUCACAUAUCCUUUGUAUCUUACAAUUCCUGCUAUAUAGCAACUAACCACAACAAUCUUUUCCUAUUACAACCAACUAACAACUUUUACAGCUAAUACAAUCUUAUUCACUAAUAUGAUGACACUUGGCACCAUCUCAGUUGUCAUACAACAACCAUUUAUCCUUUAGAUUCCUAUCAUACAACACAUUGUUUAUUCCAUACAUUAUUAUAAAUUAUAAAUCUACUCCAAAUAAAUGAGGAUCUAUAAAUUGAUGGGUACGUAAUUAGAAUUACUGACUACAAAGGGUAAUAUGCAAACCACCUACUAAUCAUAGCAAGACACUCUUCAGGUUUGUACUCUGGAGCUGUGUGACCGGCUCCCUGCAUUAAGAGAAAAAUUUAGUCAGCUUUUGCUCAAGCAAACUCUAGUAUCUAUGAAAAAUUAAGUUCAUGAAGGUUCUUGGCUUCUUGCCUUUAUAGUCGUGAAUGUCAACU